RNAcentral lists this microRNA (23 nucleotides) under Sus scrofa (pig). Its description in RNAcentral is "ssc-mir172". The record is from RNAcentral. Lineage: Eukaryota; Metazoa; Chordata; Mammalia; Artiodactyla; Suidae.
UGGCAGCUGCCUUGUCUCCGCAG